AGAACGAACGCUGGCGGCAUGCCUAACACAUGCAAGUCGAACGAGACCUUCGGGUCUAGUGGCGCACGGGUGCGUAACGCGUGGGAAUCUGCCCUGGGGUACGGAACAACAGUUAGAAAUGACUGCUAAUACCGUAUGAUGACGUAAGUCCAAAGAUUUAUCGCCCUGGGAUGAGCCCGCGUAGGAUUAGCUUGUUGGUGAGGUAAAGGCUCACCAAGGCGACGAUCCUUAGCUGGUCUGAGAGGAUGAUCAGCCACACUGGGACUGAGACACGGCCCAGACUCCUACGGGAGGCAGCAGUGGGGAAUAUUGGACAAUGGGCGAAAGCCUAAUCCAGCAAUGCCGCGUGAGUGAUGAAGGCCCUAGGGUUGUAAAGCUCUUUUACCGGGAUGAUAAUGACAGUACCGGGAGAAGUAAGCCCGGCUAACUCCGUGCCAGCAGCCGC
This 445-nucleotide ribosomal RNA is filed under the name uncultured bacterium. Its description in RNAcentral is "SSU rRNA". It matches the Rfam family "Bacterial small subunit ribosomal RNA", at positions 26 to 518 of the family's 1533-position model. The record is from RNAcentral.